CAAAAAAGUUGUCAACUAGUAAAAUGUUAAGCUAAUAUUUUUCUAUAUUUUGUUAGUUAAC
RNAcentral lists this small RNA (61 nucleotides) under Caenorhabditis elegans. RNAcentral describes it as "Unclassified non-coding RNA R06C1.7". The record is from RNAcentral. Lineage: Eukaryota; Metazoa; Nematoda; Chromadorea; Rhabditida; Rhabditidae.